GUAUUUAUUGUGAAUAUACAAGUGUAGGAUACAUAUGCAUUACAAUGAAUAAAUACCAAUGUUAUUGGUUGAACAACAUAUCAUUCGUAUCAAUUUUACAAUAGAGAACACAUCUAUGGAGAAUAUUACACCAUAGAAUUUGCAACAAUUCGACAAAAGGCAAAGAUCUUCUGAACGGUAUUACAUUUUUCAAUCUAUUAAUUUAAACUACGAUUAUUGCCAAGUAAAGUCUUCCAAUUAUGUUUGCUUCAUCAUCCAAUCGAAGAAUUCAGCUGCAACUCAAUUAUCCUUUUUUGAGUCUGCAAAAGAUAAAUGGACGUUAUAGUUAUGUGAUUGGAUGUACACAAAUAUAAUUUUGGAAUAUGGAAGAAAAGACUCAACUUACAAAAGCAAAAGGUGGGGUUAAGUAUCCUAAAGCAAAAGCAUCACCAAUUCUCUUAAAUCAGAAACUUGCCUAACUCACUCCUCAUUAUCCAGAAUAGGUUCAUCUAUGCACAUAAGUGCAAAUUCGGCACCUAGCUAAAUAUCACCAAUCUUAGUUUCUAGAUCAAUACUCCGAAUAGUAGCAUAUGGAACGUACCAUGGUUUGGAUAUGUGAAAAGUCUUUAAAACUACUUUGGAUGCAACCUAUAUUAUGAUCAAUAUUAUUAUUCAACAACAAUGAUAACGGAAUUCGCAUGAACAAUAUUUCAAUGGAUACACGUGGUCAUAGUUCGGUUAGACUACCAUGGCCAUUCACUUCCUUAGGGAUACACACUCAGGCUACAAGUGGGACUAAUAGAGGAAUGCCCACACCAGCAUGCAUGUAUUAUGUGGGUGUUUGUGGGCAGCCCGCAAUCAACCAUGUUGCGUUUGCUUGCCUAGAUAAUCCCAUUUAAUCCCACAUAGUAGUAAACUACUGCACAAUUGUAUUAAUAGUUUCUACAGUCACCAAGUGGAUGAUGUGUGGUAAGCACCCACAAAAAAAGUGUUGAGACAAUUGUACUUAGCUCUUGUACAAAUCAAGACUAACUUGUUGUAUCGGGACAUUAGUUGAACACAGCAGCACAAACAACUAUCAAUCAGGUCACUACAUGAGCAAGCACAUGCAAAGUGGCCCCCAGUGCAAACAAAUUAGAGUGGCCGAUAAAGCAUCAUCAUACCAUUGAGAAUCAGGAGCAGAGGAUCUGUGCUGUAUGUGCGUUCUUGUUGUUGCGUCGGGCAUGUGUGUGUAUAUGCUUUCUAGUACGUAACAAAAGUACCCGUAAGAUGUUUUCUAACACUAGACAUUCCAUGGCAAAGUUAUAAAGAAUUUAAACAUUCUAUACGAAUUGUCAAUGAACGCGUCCAUAUGACUGCCUAAACAUAUACCUGGAAACCAGUAGCCAUGAUUACAGUGGCUUUAAACAGCAUGGAAUUGAUAUGCAUAAACCCUUGAGGCAUCAACACUAUCCGAGCUCCCCACAAAUAUUCUGUAAGAGUAGAAUGAUAAACAACUUGAGACAGAAAUAGAUAUACAUCCAAAAGCUACAGACUAUAAGCAUGCAGUAGAAAAGCUACAGACUAUAUUCAACAAAUUUGAAAUUAAAUGUAGAACCUAUUUUGCACAUAAUGUAACCAGGAUGGAUACUUGGUAAAAGGUGAUGGUUUCUUACAUUCACCUAAAUAAAAAAGUAACUAGGAUGGGUAAUUGGUACAAGGUGAUGCUAUCACGCAUUCAGUUAUAUCAAACUAGCUGAAAUAGAUAUACAUCCAAAAGAUACAGACUAUAAGCAUGCAGUAGAAAAGCUACAGACUAUAUUCAACAAAUUUGAAAUUAAAUGUAGAACCUAUUUUGCACAUAAUGUAACCAGGAUGGAUACUUGGUAAAAGGUGACGGUUUCUUACAUUCACCUAAAUAAAAAAGUAACUAGGAU
RNAcentral lists this long non-coding RNA (1895 nucleotides) under Triticum aestivum (bread wheat). Its description in RNAcentral is "long non-coding RNA (TAES_LNC011882)". Lineage: Eukaryota; Viridiplantae; Streptophyta; Magnoliopsida; Poales; Poaceae. The record is from RNAcentral.